This is a long non-coding RNA of Oncorhynchus tshawytscha (Chinook salmon), 1070 nucleotides long. The record is from Ensembl. Lineage: Eukaryota; Metazoa; Chordata; Actinopteri; Salmoniformes; Salmonidae.
ACCAUCCACUCUAACGGAACCCCCUUUCUACGUUAUUCUCCGUGCACAUUAUUUUUUUUCUGUCACUGGGGGCCCACUUUCCCCGCCCACUCCCCUAAUUUUAGCUUGAAACUAGAAUAGCGGAGCCAAGAAAUAGUUAAUCCAGGGCUGCUUUUAUGAUUGGCCGCUGUAUACAGCGCUUGAGCCACCUUGAAUGAGAGACAGGGGUAACUAGGCAACUUCAGCGGCGGUAAAAUAAUUUUUAAAAUAAGAUAAAAAAAUAAGAUAUGUCCACGAAACACUGAAAUAGUAAAAUUGUCGAAAAAUGAGAGGCGACCCAAUGUGAUUUUAUUGCGUGCGUGUCCGGCAAAUGGAAUUAAGGAAUGGAUUUUUUUGUCUCUAAGAAGCGAAAACAGAUCGCGCAAACGAACCGGAACCUGAUUUGGAUUAAAACGGUUAAACUGGAAAUUUCAGCAUAGCUGUCAUAUGAAAGGUGCUAAUGGAGGGAGGGACAGAGAUGUACAACAGACGGACAGUCUCUGAAGUGUCCUACCAAAGAGGAAUACCAGUACUCAACCUGGACUAAAGAAUAAUACAGUACUACAACAACAACCCAUGUGUUCUCUUUGGAAGGAAGAAUUCACCAAUCACUAAGUGGGAUCUGCACUAAAGAGCAAUAGAGGGACCAUGUAAUACUUGUCCUAAUUUGAGGAACAUCUAGCCACCAUGUUAGAACUAGUCUGAAGCAGAAGGACCGCUACAACAUCUACCUGUCAUCAGCUCUACCAGGAUGGGUCCAAAUUGAAGGAGAUCUGAACCCCUGGAUCUCUUCACCAAAGAGGAAUAACACCAGGCUUCUCACCAUGGACUUGGAGGAAAACUCUGUCCUAGACCUGGAGUAGAGGGAGUAGUGGCUCUGUCCUAGACCUGGAGCAGAGGGAGUAGUGGCUCUGUCCUAGACCUGGAGUAGAGGGAGUAGUUGCUCUGUCCUAGACCUGGAGCAGAGAGAGUAGUGGCUCUGUCCUAGACCUGGAGCAGAGGGAGUAGUGGCUCUGUCCUAGACCUGGAGCAGAGGGAGUAGUGGCUCUGUC